This 254-nucleotide ribosomal RNA is filed under the name uncultured bacterium. Its description in RNAcentral is "partial 16S ribosomal RNA". It matches the Rfam family "Bacterial small subunit ribosomal RNA", at positions 524 to 776 of the family's 1533-position model. The record is from RNAcentral.
UACGUAGGGUGCAAGCGUUGUCCGGAAUUAUUGGGCGUAAAGAGCUUGUAGGCGGUUUGUCGCGUCUGCUGUGAAAUUUCGGGGCUCAACCCCGAACUUGCAGUGGGUACGGGCAGACUAGAGUGUGGUAGGGGAGACUGGAAUUCCUGGUGUAGCGGUGAAAUGCGCAGAUAUCAGGAGGAACACCGAUGGCGAAGGCAGGUCUCUGGGCCACUACUGACGCUGAGAAGCGAAAGCAUGGGGGAGCGAACAGG